Molecule: ribosomal RNA, 389 nt
Filed under: uncultured Bolidomonas
Lineage: Eukaryota; Bolidophyceae
Description: partial Bacterial large subunit ribosomal RNA
Rfam family: Bacterial large subunit ribosomal RNA
Source: RNAcentral
CGGUCAGACGGAAAGACCCCGUGAACCUUUACUAUAGCUUCGUAUUGACUUUGGAUAAGUAAUGUGUAGGAUAGGUGGGAGACUACGAAAUGGCGUCGCUAGGCGUUGUGGAGUCGUUGUUGAAAUACCACCCUUUGCUUAUCUGAAGCCUAACCUCUCACGAGGAACAGUGCGUGGUGGGUAGUUUGACUGGGGUGGUCGCCUCCAAAAGAGUAACGGAGGCUUCUAAAGGUACCCUCAGCACGCUUGGUAACCGUGCGUAGAGUGCAAUGGCAUAAGGGUGCUUGACUGAGAGACAUACAGGUCGAUCAGGUUGGAAACAAGAGCAUAGUGAUCCGGUGGUUCCGCAUGGAAGGGCCAUCGCUCAAAGGAUAAAAGGUACUCCGGGG